This 106-nucleotide small nuclear RNA is filed under the name Procavia capensis (Cape rock hyrax). The record is from RNAcentral. Lineage: Eukaryota; Metazoa; Chordata; Mammalia; Hyracoidea; Procaviidae.
GUACUAGCUUCGGUAGCACGUGUACUGAAAUUAUAAUGAUGCAGAGAUAUUACCGUGGCCUCUGCCCAAGGUUGAUUUGCGAAUCUGUGAAGAGUUCCAUAUUUUU